UAGUCCACGCUGUAAACGAUGAGCACUUGUUAUCGCGGGUAUUGACCCCUGCGGUGACGAAGCUAACGCAUUAAGUGCUCCGCCUGGGGAGUACGGUCGCAAGACUAAAACUCAAAGGAAUUGACGGGGGCCCGCACAAGCGGUGGAUCAUGUGGUUCAAUUCGAAGCUACGCGAACAACCUUACCUGGGCUUGAAGUCCCACGAACGAUCUAGAGAUAGAUUGGUGCUCUUCGGAGAAUGUGGUGAUAGGUGCUGCAUGGCUGUCGUCAGCUCGUGUUGUGAAAUGUUGGGUUAAGUCUCGCAACGAGCGCAACCCCUAUUGUUAGUUGCCAGCAUUAAGUUGGGCACUCUAAUGAGACCGCCUGGGUUAACCAGGAGGAAGGUGGGGAUGACGUCAAGUCCUCAUGGCCCUUAUGUCCAGGGCUACACACGUGAUACAAUGGUGCAUACAGAGGGACGCGAACUCGCGAGGGGGAGCGAAAUCUCAAAAAGUGA
Molecule: ribosomal RNA, 496 nt
Filed under: uncultured bacterium
Lineage: Bacteria
Description: bacterial SSU rRNA
Rfam family: Bacterial small subunit ribosomal RNA
Source: RNAcentral